AUGGCCGCCAUGGUCAGAGCAUGCAUGCCACUCCGCACCCCUCCUGCCGCCGCGUCCUCCACCGCCACCGCGCCCGCUGCCCCGAGCAAGCCGCGCUCGAGCGCCCGCGUGCUCGUGCUCGGCGGCACCGGCCGCGUCGGCGGCUCCACGGCCACCGCGCUCUCCAAGCUCCGUCCCGACCUUAACAUCCUCAUCGGCGGCAGGAACCGGGAGAAAGGUGAAUCUUUGGCAUCUGAGCUUGGCGAGCAAUCCGAGUUUGUGAAGAUUGAUACUGGCAACGCAGCCAUGUUGGAGAAAGCGCUAGAGGAUGUGGACUUGGUUGUUCAUACUGCCGGGCCUUUCCAAAGGGAGGCUGAAUGCACCGUCCUGCGAGCGGCGAUUUCGACUAAGACCGCAUAUAUCGAUGUUUGUGAUGAUAUGGACUAUUCAUGGAGAGCCAAAGCUUUUCAUGAAGAAGCAAAAGCUCAAGGUGUUCCAGCUAUUACAACCGCUGGCAUAUAUCCUGGAGUGAGCAAUGUGAUGGCUGCUGAGCUUGUGAGUGCUGCAAGAAGUGAAGAUGGAGAGCCUGAAAGACUAAGAUUCUUCUAUUAUACUGCAGGCUCUGGUGGUGCUGGCCCAACAAUAUUGGCGACAAGUUUUCUGCUUCUUGGGGAGGAUGUAAUUGCAUAUAACAAAGGAGAAGAAAUCAAAUUGAAGCCCUACAGUGGAGUUCUCAACAUUGAUUUCGGAAAAGGGGUCAGAAAGAGAGAUGUUUACUUACUGAAUUUGCCUGAAGUGAAGAGUGCUCAUAAAUUUUUAGGUGUCCCAACGGUCAGUGCUCGAUUUGGUACUGCUCCUUUCUUCUGGAAUUGGGGAAUGGAGGCUUUCGCUAAAUUUUUACCUGUUGAGUUGUUAAGGGAUAAAGAUAAGGUUGGAAAGUUGGUUAAAGAAAUUGAUCCCCUUGUUCGAGCCAUUGAUGGCAUUGUAGGAGAGCGUGUGUCCAUGAGAGUAGACUUGGAGUGUUCGAAUGGCCGAAAUACUAUUGGAUUAUUUUCUCAUAGAAAACUAUCUGUAUCGGUGGGCCAUUCAACGGCUGCAUUUGUUCAAGCAGUUCUGGAGGGAAGCACACAACCAGGUGUUUGGUUUCCGGAAGAGCCAGAGGGAAUAGCAAUUGAAUCAAGGAAGCUGCUUCUGGAGCGUGCGUCCCAAGGAACAACAAACUUCGUGAUGAACAAGCCUUCAUGGAUGAUAGAGACUGAUCCAAAGGAAGUUAUCCUAGGAAUAUACGUGUGA
Molecule: ribosomal RNA, 1272 nt
Filed under: Triticum aestivum (bread wheat)
Lineage: Eukaryota; Viridiplantae; Streptophyta; Magnoliopsida; Poales; Poaceae
Description: partial small subunit ribosomal RNA
Source: RNAcentral